RNAcentral lists this long non-coding RNA (648 nucleotides) under Capsicum annuum. RNAcentral describes it as "long non-coding RNA (CANN_LNC012808)". Lineage: Eukaryota; Viridiplantae; Streptophyta; Magnoliopsida; Solanales; Solanaceae. The record is from RNAcentral.
UCGGAUGGUAAGCACCCCUUAACACCAACUCUCAGAUUGUGGGUUCGAGUCAACAAGAUAGCAAAAAGGGGAGAGCUCGGGUAAAAAAUGUUAGAAGAAAAUGACAAACCAUAUGAACUAAAACACAGUUUCUUUGAAGGCUUUUACGAAAACAUUGAUUUUGCAUUUCAGGUUUCUUCCUUUGACAUCUCUACCCACUCUCACACGCACAAACACACAUAAUCACAAACACGAAUUUCGAGAGUCUAACAAUUUACUCCCUCAGUUUCAGUUUUACUUGGCACAUAUCAUACUAAAUUUAACAUUAUAAAUAAUAUUUUGAACUAUAAAUUUGACUAUCCUUACUUUAUACAGUUACUUUAAUACAAAGGAUAAAAAGGAAAAAAUACACACUUGGAGAUGCCACCGAGGGAGGGACUGUUGGUUGGAGGGACGGAAAGGACUGUUGGCAGGUGAGGGAGGCGUCGAAGGCAGCCGGGGAGAGGAGAUUCGCCGGUCAGUGGUGGAGCGGAGGCUGGUUCAUCCGGUGGCGGAGGCUAGUUCGUCCGGUGGCGGAGGCUGGUGGCGCUGAAGACCAAGAGCCCACCGGUAAUCACAUCCGACGAGGCUUGUCGACGGGAGAGGAGGAUGGAGGCAGCGGAGCAGCGG